UUAACACAGUUCUUGAAACACUGGCCAGAGCAAUUAGACAGACGAAAGAAAUUAAAGGGAUACACACAGGAAAAGAAGAACUCACCCCCACCCCGUUUUAGACCUGCUGGUGCUGCCCCACGACCUCCACCAAAGCCCAUGUAAGGAACUGCAUCCUUAAUGAGUGAAGAAAAGCUUUCUUCUGGAAAAAAAUAAAAUGGAAAUUGUAAUUUAAAAAAAUAAGAACUCAAAUUGGCACUA
RNAcentral lists this long non-coding RNA (240 nucleotides) under Marmota monax (woodchuck). The record is from RNAcentral. Lineage: Eukaryota; Metazoa; Chordata; Mammalia; Rodentia; Sciuridae.